Molecule: ribosomal RNA, 116 nt
Filed under: Morganella morganii
Lineage: Bacteria; Pseudomonadati; Pseudomonadota; Gammaproteobacteria; Enterobacterales; Morganellaceae
Source: RNAcentral
CCUGGCGGCCGUAGCGCGGUGGUCCCACCUGACCCCAUGCCGAACUCAGAAGUGAAACGCCGUAGCGCCGAUGAUAGUGUGGGGUCUCCCCAUGUGAGAGUAGGGAACCGCCAGGU